Long non-coding RNA from Homo sapiens (human), 2810 nucleotides. The record is from Ensembl. Lineage: Eukaryota; Metazoa; Chordata; Mammalia; Primates; Hominidae.
GGGAAGGGGAAGGUGCCUUUCCGCAUUUGGUGUAGUCCCGCAUUCUGCCAUAUGAUGGCGCCAGAGAACGCGCCUACCGGGAUAGGGAGGGGCAAGGAGGCGAGGAAGGAAAAAAAAGAGACAAGUGAAGAUUGACAUCCAUUAAGGCCAAUGGUAGCUCAAUCUUCUGUUCUCUGACUCCCAAGCUUCCCAUUCUCUUAGGAGGCUGCAUUUGUGGCGCUAAAAAAAGGGAUGGGCGUGGGAGAUUCCAGGACUUGUGCUCGCUGAAGAUACAACUGUUAGUCCAAGCUCCUGUAUCAGCAGUGCUUGCACCUCAUAGGUGAUGAUCAUGAGGGGGACAAGGAGCCUCUAGACUUAAGAGACAAGUUGCCAGCAUUCUCCAGAUGGAGUGUUUCCCUCCGCAGCACCCCCUGCUGGUCAGUUUGACAAGCAGGUGAACAGAAGUUCUCAAAUACACAAUAGUAGAUUCUAUCAAUCAAGUUUCAUAAAGAGUUCUGAUUCCCAGAGAUAGCAGAUUCUGUCAACCACAUUUCAUAAAGAGUUCUGAUUCUAAGAGAGCCAUACACCUGAAGGAGGGAUGGAAAGACUAGGAGAGCCUGGGAUCCUCAGAGAUGGAGAUCUGGAUGUGAAGAGAAAGAGAAAAACAAAAGUCAACAGACAGUACUGUGACCAAGUCAGUGAUGGUGAGAUCAGCAGCAUCUCUAGGACCCUUCUGAUUGACAUGAAGUCACCAUCAAGUAGGCAGAACUCACAGCAGGAGACCUGUCUCUGAUGCUGCUGAGCCACUUUGACAAUCGUUAUAUAGAAAUCUGAUUGGAUGCCGUGAAACUGGACAUCAGCAAAAUGUCAGAAUGGGACUUUCUAGCAUUUAUCCUCACACAGAAACAUCAAUUUAAACAACUAUCUAUGCAUGAAAAUACCUUCAGAAGAGCUAAGAAAACCAGGUGAAAGGUUACAGAAAUGUUGUGUAGCAGAGAAAUAAGAAAAGAUUAAUUGAAGAGCAUAGGAAGAACAAUUUUUCAUUUCCUGUGUCACCCCUCCCACAACACCAGGCAGCAGGGCACAGAGAGAGGCAAUCUCUGUGUCGAAGAAGAAAAGUGAAGUGAGCACUGAACUUUGCCUUGGACUCCAACGCAGAGCCUGCUUCAGUAAAAUCCAGUAAUGGGUAUGCGACUAUUGCCCGAAACUCCAGGCUAGUACCUGCACACUAAGCCAGACCAGAUCACACAGCCCAGGCUCCAGGCUUGCCUGGUGGACUUGGUUUCUGGGUAUAUCCUCAUGCCAGGUCUACCCCAGUGCCUUGGAUGUCAGACAGUCUUUGGGACCAGGCCAGCCCCAGUGACUCCAGGCUCCAGACUGCUCCCAGAACAAGGCCGGCCUCGACAACUCCAGGUUUCAAGCCAGCCCCAGGACCAGGCUAGCUCCUGCAACUCUAGUCACCAUGCCAGUGUCCAUAUAUCCAACCCCUAAUCUGGCCCCUGUGGAUACAGGCUCGAGGACUGCCUAGCACAAGGCUAGCCCCUGUGGUCGCAGACUCCAAGUCCACCCUAGGUUCCAGACCGGCCCAGAACUAGAUUGGCUCACACCAAUCCAGGAUUCAGGCCCACCCCAUUUCCAGGUUGGCAGCCCUAGCCCUAGGCCUUAGUCAGGUAUCUGGCAAGCAUCUGCAGACCCAGGCUCCAGGCCUCCCGAGGCCUAAGCCAGUUUCUGCCACCCCACUCUCCAGGCCAGUUCCUAUGGUCCCAUCCUCUAGCAGACCCAGGGUCCAGGCCCAUCACAGUUGACUCCAGUAUUGGGCAGGUGCCUACAGACCCAGUAUCUAGUACUGCCUCUGUGGACUUAGGUUCCAGUCCAGUUCCUACAGCCCUAGGACCCAAGCCACCCUUUGUGGCCCUAGUGUCCAUGCCCACUUCUGAAUAUGUUGGUUCUAGGACAGAUCUCACACAACCAGCCUCCAGGCCAUUCCACAAUUCUUGGCCCACCCCUGUGGCUACAAGCACCAGUCUAGCACCUAUGGUCUCAAACUUUAGACUGGCCCCAUCUCACCACAGCCCUAGGCCAGCAUCAGACUCCAGGCUGGUUUUUGUAACCCAGCAUCCAACAAACUCAGGGCCCAGCUGUGCUCUAGCAGACCCAGGGUACAGGCCGACUUCAUUAGACCCUGUUGCUAGGCUGGCCAUCAUGGACAAAGUCUCUAGGACCAUCUCUGAAGACUCAGGCUCCAGGUCUGCCCCCGUCUACCAAGAUCCCAGGCCCAUUUCUCCAGAUUCCGGCUCCAGUCCUGCACCAGUACCAGGCCAGUCCCCAUGGACUCAGAUGCCAGGCUUAUCCCAGCAGACUCAGACACUAUGCUCAUUCCAAAAUCUGGCCAGCCCCUGCAGACACAGGCUCAAUGCACGCCUCAGAGCCAUGUUAGCCCCUGUGGACCCAUGCUCAGUCCAGCACCUACUGUUAACAGGCUCUGUACCUGCCCUUAUAGAAAUUGGCUUUACGUUCAUCCCCACAUACCCAAUGAAAAGAUCCACCCCAGUUGAUCCAGGCUUCAGGCCCAACUCUACAGACCCAGGAAACAGGCCUACCAUCUGCUAACACAGGCACCAGGCCAGCCUGCCUGAGGACUUUGGCAACAAGUUCACCUGCAGACCACACUAGACACCCUACAAAGAGUUGCUGGAUGACUAGGAAAGGGUUUUUCCAGAUAAAGCCGGUAUGCAAGAACUAGAAUAAGUUUCUUGUUUUUCAAAUGUGCAGACACUAAUGCACUGCCUAAAAAUCAAGAUCAAGAACAAUCAGAGAAAAAUGAUACCACC